RNAcentral lists this ribosomal RNA (551 nucleotides) under uncultured bacterium. Its description in RNAcentral is "partial 16S ribosomal RNA". It matches the Rfam family "Bacterial small subunit ribosomal RNA", at positions 355 to 901 of the family's 1533-position model. The record is from RNAcentral.
UGGGGAAUUUUUGGACAAUGGGCGAAAGCCUGAUCCAGCAAUGCCGCGUGUGUGAAGAAGGCCUUCGGGUUGUAAAGCACUUUUGUCCGGAAAGAAAUCCUUGGCUCUAAUACAGUCGGGGGAUGACGGUACCGGAAGAAUAAGCACCGGCUAACUACGUGCCAGCAGCCGCGGUAAUACGUAGGGUGCAAGCGUUAAUCGGAAUUACUGGGCGUAAAGCGUGCGCAGGCGGUUUGCUAAGACCGAUGUGAAAUCCCCGGGCUCAACCUGGGAACUGCAUUGGUGACUGGCAGGCUAGAGUAUGGCAGAGGGGGGUAGAAUUCCACGUGUAGCAGUGAAAUGCGUAGAGAUGUGGAGAAUACCGAUGGCGAAGGCAGCCCCCUGGGCCAAUACUGACGCUCAUGCGCGAAAGCGUGGGGAGCAAACAGGAUUAGAUACCCUGGUAGUCCACGCCCUAAACGAUGUCAACUGUUGUUGGGGAUUCAUUCCUUAGUAACGUAGCUAACGCGUGAAGUUGACCGCCUGGGGAGUACGGUCGCAAGAUUAAAACU